AGCCCUAAGGAGGAGGCAUGAAAAAAGCCCAAGCAGGAGUAAGAUUUUGAGACCAACGCAAUCCUUUUAAAAUUCAAAUUAAUUAAAUCCUAUCCAUCCUCAUUAAAGGUUUUUGGGACUCUCAUUCUUUACAUUAAAAAAAAAGAAAAAGA
This is a long non-coding RNA of Herpailurus yagouaroundi (jaguarundi), 152 nucleotides long. RefSeq lists it as uncharacterized. The transcript has 2 exons. NCBI's taxonomy places the organism in Eukaryota, Metazoa, Chordata, Mammalia, Carnivora, Felidae. The record is from RefSeq and is a predicted model, not a curated record.